GCAACCAGUACUUCUUCUCAUCACCAAAAACCUGUCGCAUAUUUUUACUGAAACCCAAGCUGAAUCCAUUCUUAUCUGUUCCAUGUCGAAAUACAGGACUUCUAAAAGCCUCUAAAAAAGACAGCAGAGCAAUCACCAUCUACUACAAGAACACAUACAACAACACAUCCACAGUAAUGCUUCAGGCUAUUGUAAACAAGAGCAUCACAGAAAAGAUAAACAGGAGAGCAUAACGCCGGUGUAAAAUAAACCUUACGUCACUCUGUGACAAAAGAGGCCAUCUCAAAGCAAAACCAGCGUGACUCUCAUUGUGUUAUUGCCCAGGGACACCCGGCUCUAUCUAGAACGGUAGGUUUGGGGCUACGGAUGCUCAGUGACGCACCAGAGCUGCCAGGAGGCGUCUCCUUCUGAUAGAAGGGAAUACUGCACCCACACCCACCCUGCGGAUCUGUCAGACUGACAGGUCACAAGACCUCACCGGGAGCUUUUGACAGCAGUCCUCACAGUGAAAACCCUGGCUACUCCUUUACAAAUAUAUUUGUGGUUGGGACUAAAGCUAUUCACAGGAGCGAGGAGCGUGGGGUGACAUCUCUCAGACAUUCCUCAGGGAUCAUUCCUCUACUGCACAGUGAAGGUCUACUUGAUGCUGAGAGCCUGUCCACACGCCUAUGUACCCCUAGUGCUCAGCCAUGAAGUGGCACAUAGUAGAUGCUCAAUAAAUCUCUGGUACUGAAUGUGAUUAAAAUCCCGUCCCGCAUGAAUGACCUGGCAAUUAGGAAAGUCUUACCAAAUAAAGAAUAAUUUCAUGAAAAUAAUAAAGCAAUUCUGGCAGGGGAUGACUUUUUUUGUUGUUGUUUGGUAUUCACGAGGAGUAUCUUUGAAUAUUUAAAAUACUCAAUUUUAAUUUUGUUUUGCUUGCAUUUAAGGUAAAUAGUGCAGAAAACAAAUGAAUUAACUAAAGCCUAAUCAAGCAAUACCUAGUAAAAAUUCGGGCAUUUUAGAUAUAAGUUUAAAAAAAAUAAUCUUUUUACACAUAAAGAAAACACUUCUAUUUAGAAAAGCUAAAAAAAAAAAAAUCUUCUUAGUCAAUUCUUGUUAUUUCAGUGGUUGUGCUCUAUAAAGCUGCCAUGAGCACUGGCUUCCUCCCAGGGAAAACACUGGGAAGGUUCCUGCGAGCCUCCAGUCAUACUUUUGUCAGCAGAACUAUUUAUUCAUAACCUGGUUUUCUGUGCUUCUGUGCCUGAAGACACAGUAUCGACAGCUUAUUCAACAUUUAUUGUUGAUUCACUGACACAGAACUCACACCCAACGUCACUAUGACUCACGCCUGAAGGACGCUUACCCGACACACAGAUUUUCUCCAUAAAGCACCUCACACGAGUGCUCAGAAACACCGACAGUACUUCAGCACUGUUCUUGAAGAGCAUUUUAAACAGAAAUGACCAACACAAAGCACAACAAUGCAAAAAAAACCAAAAAAACAAAAACGUGGCAUUAAGUAGAGUGAAAAGCACAGCGUGUCACAAUAUGGGAGCUGAGACAAGAAGGCAGCGUCUCCUUGUUUUAUCUCCUUGCUUGACAUGCACAUGGGGCACGCACAUUCCUGGCCACCCCGUGCAUGUCUGCAAAUGGCCACAAAAGCUCUGUGAGUUCUGGUUUUGGGUAACAGAGAAACGUUAGCAAGAUGUGAAUUCACAAACACAGAAUCUGCAAAUAAUGAGGACUGACUAUAAAUGAGCUCAAGUCUAUAAAAUCAGUGUCUGAAAUAAUUCACUAACGAAAAACUGUACUAUAUACUUUUAUAUACCAAAAAAAAAAA
This is a long non-coding RNA of Myotis myotis, 1819 nucleotides long. RefSeq lists it as uncharacterized. NCBI's taxonomy places the organism in Eukaryota, Metazoa, Chordata, Mammalia, Chiroptera, Vespertilionidae. The record is from RefSeq and is a predicted model, not a curated record. The transcript has 2 exons.